This 299-nucleotide long non-coding RNA is filed under the name Physcomitrium patens. RNAcentral describes it as "long non-coding RNA (PPAT_LNC008987)". Lineage: Eukaryota; Viridiplantae; Streptophyta; Bryopsida; Funariales; Funariaceae. The record is from RNAcentral.
GAAAUUUCAAAGAAAUAAUAAAAAAUCUUAAAGAAAUAUUCGAACAAUCACAAAUAUAUCUCAAAUACAUCUCAAUUCAAUCUUAAUUUAAUCCAAGUUAAAAUCCUAUUGGACUUCAUUCAAAUUUUAUGCCAAAACUAAUUAAAUCUUAAAUCUUAAACAAACCCUAAUAAAAUCCUAAAUCCUAAAUCAAAUCCUAACUAUAUCCUAACCAAAUCCUAAAUCAAAUCCUAAUCAAAUCCUAAAUCCUAAACCAAAUCCUAAAAAAAUCCUAAACCAAACCCCAACCAAACCCUAAA